CGCCCCCAGCAAUGGCCAAAGACACAUUUUGUUGGUGGUGUUGAUCUUAUAUCAGUCAAGGGCAAAGCAGAUAGAAGUCCUUUGCUCAUCCUAGCCUGCCGCCUGACUUAAUCACCAACACAGUUUUAUGCCUAGGACACAUAA
Mus musculus (house mouse) is the source of this 144-nucleotide non-coding RNA. Lineage: Eukaryota; Metazoa; Chordata; Mammalia; Rodentia; Muridae. The record is from Rfam.